GAUGAACGCUGGCGGCGUGCUUAACACAUGCAAGUCGAACGGUGAAGGCGGAGCUUGCUCUGCUGGAUCAGUGGCGAACGGGUGAGUAACACGUGAGCAAUCUGCCCCUGACUCUGGGAUAAGCGCUGGAAACGGCGUCUAAUACUGGAUACGAGCUGCGAAGGCAUCUUCAGCAGCUGGAAAGAAUUUCGGUCAGGGAUGAGCUCGCGGCCUAUCAGCUUGUUGGUGAGGUAAUGGCUCACCAAGGCGUCGACGGGUAGCCGGCCUGAGAGGGUGACCGGCCACACUGGGACUGAGACACGGCCCAGACUCCUACGGGAGGCAGCAGUGGGGAAUAGUGCACAAUGGGCGAAAGCCUGAUGCAGCAACGCCGCGUGAGGGACGACGGCCUUCGGGUUGUAAACCUCUUUUAGCAGGGAAGAAGCGAAAGUGACGGUACCUGCAGAAAAAGCGCCGGCUAACUACGUG
Molecule: ribosomal RNA, 468 nt
Filed under: uncultured bacterium
Lineage: Bacteria
Description: partial 16S ribosomal RNA
Rfam family: Bacterial small subunit ribosomal RNA
Source: RNAcentral